CCUACGGGUGGCUGCAGUGAGGAAUAUUGGUCAAUGGACGAGAGUCUGAACCAGCCAAGUAGCGUGAAGGAUGACUGCCCUCUGGGUUGUAAACUUCUUUUAUAUGGGAAUAAAAUGUUCCACGUGUGGGCUUUUGUAUGUACCAUAUGAAUAAGGAUCGGCUAACUCCGUGCCAGCAGCCGCGGUAAUACGGAGGAUCCGAGCGUUAUCCGGAUUUAUUGGGUUUAAAGGGAGCGUAGGUGGAUUGUUAAGUCAGUUGUGAAAGUUUGCGGCGCAAACGUAAAAGUGCAGUUGAAACUGGCUGUCUUGAGUACAGGAGAGGUGGGCGGAAUGCGUGGUGUAGCGGUGAAAUGCUUAGAUAUCACGAAGAACUCCGAUUGCGAAGGCAGCUCACUGGACUGCAACUGACACUGAGGCUCGAAAGUGUGGGUAUCAAACAGGAUUAGAUACCCCUGUAGUC
This 460-nucleotide ribosomal RNA is filed under the name uncultured bacterium. Its description in RNAcentral is "partial 16S ribosomal RNA". It matches the Rfam family "Bacterial small subunit ribosomal RNA", at positions 338 to 795 of the family's 1533-position model. The record is from RNAcentral.